CGAACCGUGCGAACGUUGUUCGGAAUCACUGGGCAUAAAGGGCGCGUAGGCGGCUCCCCAAGUCAGGGGUGAAAUCCGGCAGCUUAACUGUCGAAGUGCCUUUGAUACUGGGGAGCUCGAGGGAGGUAGGGGUGUGUGGAACUUCCGGUGGAGCGGUGAAAUGCGUUGAUAUCGGAAGGAACGCCGGUGGCGAAAGCGACGCACUGGACCUCUUCUGACGCUGAGGCGCGAAAGCCAGGGGAGCAAACGGGAUUAGAUACCCCGGUAGUCCUGGCCCUAAACGAUGGGUACUAGAUAGUGGACUUACAUGGGUUCACUGUCGAAGCAAAUGUGUUAAGUACCCCGCCUGGGGAGUAUGGUCGCAAGGCUG
This 370-nucleotide ribosomal RNA is filed under the name uncultured organism. RNAcentral's name for it is "bacterial SSU rRNA". It matches the Rfam family "Bacterial small subunit ribosomal RNA", at positions 526 to 896 of the family's 1533-position model. The record is from RNAcentral.